RNAcentral lists this ribosomal RNA (301 nucleotides) under uncultured bacterium. RNAcentral's name for it is "partial 16S ribosomal RNA". It matches the Rfam family "Bacterial small subunit ribosomal RNA", at positions 509 to 807 of the family's 1533-position model. The record is from RNAcentral.
CAGCAGCCGCGGGAAUACGUAGGGGGCGAGCGUUGUCCGAAGUUACUGGGCGUAAAGGGAGCGUAGGCGGAUCGUUAAGUUGGGGGUGAAAGCCCGGGGCUCAACCUCGGAACUGCCUUCAAUACUGGCGAUCUUGAGUAUGAGAGGGGUGUGUGGAACUCCGAGUGUAGAGGUGAAAUUCGUAGAUAUUCGGAAGAACACCAGUGGCGAAGGCGACACACUGGCUCAUUACUGACGCUGAGGCUCGAAAGCGUGGGGAGCAAACAGGAUUAGAUACCCCUGUAGUCCCUGUCUCUUAUAC